RNAcentral lists this ribosomal RNA (468 nucleotides) under uncultured bacterium. RNAcentral describes it as "partial 16S ribosomal RNA". It matches the Rfam family "Bacterial small subunit ribosomal RNA", at positions 28 to 507 of the family's 1533-position model. The record is from RNAcentral.
GACGAACGCUGGCGGCGUGCUUAACACAUGCAAGUCGAACGGAAAGGCCCUGCUUUUGUGGGGUGCUCGAGUGGCGAACGGGUGAGUAACACGUGAGUAACCUGCCCUUGACUUUGGGAUAAAUUCAGGAAACUGGGGCUAAUACCGGAUAGGAGCUCCUGCUGCAUGGGGGGGGUUGGAAAGUUUCGGCGGUUGGGGAUGGACUCGCGGCUUAUCAGCUUGUUGGUGGGGUAGUGGUUUACCAAGGCUUUGACGGGUAGCCGGCCUGAGAGGGUGACCGGCCACAUUGGGCCUGAGAUACGGCGCAGACUCCUACGGGAGGCAGCGGUGGGGAACAUUGCACAAUGGGCGCAAGCCUGAUGCGGAAACGCCGCGUGCGGGAUGACGGCCUUCGGGUGGUAAACAGAUUUCGACUGUGACGAAGCGUGAGUGACGGUAAUGGGUAAAGAAGCACCGGCUAACUACGCG